Long non-coding RNA from Phyllopteryx taeniolatus (common seadragon), 1394 nucleotides. RefSeq lists it as uncharacterized. The transcript is spliced from 3 exons. Lineage: Eukaryota; Metazoa; Chordata; Actinopteri; Syngnathiformes; Syngnathidae. The record is from RefSeq and is a predicted model, not a curated record.
UUGAAAGCGUCGCUCCUCGUUGUGUGCGUACAAGCCGAGUGAAAGUUUGUUGAUGGCGGACAUCUCGCACAAUAACCGUGUUUCGUUACUUCAUCCAUAAUUAUCAGAUAAAUAGGCUAACGUCUCACCGUGUAUUAUUGGAAGACGUUACAAAACUUAAUGCCAAGCUCUACAAAGCCGUCCAAACAAGGUACCUGCCGACUGGCAGUUAGCGGCGGAGGAACAUGUUAGCAUUAGCAGCUAGCAAUACAAUCGGCAUCAAUUUUAAUGAUGAGAUCAUGGAGAAAAAAAUCAGUGACUUCUCGAUGCACUUGGACUGCUUUGAUGUCGUCGUUACUGGUGAUGAAAAUUGGCCCGUUUCUCCGUGAGUUGCUCCGCUCACUUUCACUGGGAGCUCCCCAGUUUAAUUGCAACCGUGCCUACGCUUCGAGCGCAAAGCCAUCAAUAACCAUCCUUGUAACACGAAGACAGCCCAGAUACAAAUCACAUUUGGACAAGAGGAGUGAAGAAACAGGUGGGGAGGAAAUGGAGUCCGGGGGAGUCAUUUCCCAUCAUGUCCAAGUUAUUGAUGACCCUCAGCCUGACUGGGAAGCCUGCUAGCUGCUUUCCAUUCAGAUUCUCGAUUCCACAUUCAAUUGAAAGCCUGGCGCAGUUCUUCCUGGUGAUUGGGGUUGUUUUUACAGCGUCUACCUGCAUCAAACCUUUUUAGUCCAACAUUUUCGAGGCAGUACAUUUGCAUUUCGAUGCUUUGUCAGAAAAGAGCCAGGACGGGUGUCACAAAAGAUAUAUUUCAAACACAAACUACAAGUUUUCCCCUUCAAUGUAACACCUGUAAAAUAUUUAAGCGUGACCUCAUCACGAUGCAGCCAUUCAACGUUUUCCACAUUUCACGUAUAUUCAUGUCCUCCGUCCAUUCAUUAAUCACUGCCUGCCUUCCCAGUUAACAUGGAUAUUUGACUACUAAAGCCGUCAAUGGCAGUGAAUGUGUUAAGCAAUGAGGAAAAUGAUGAGACUGAAUUUACAGUGUUGACAUAUGGGGCAAUACAUAUAAAACCAACAAUUACCCUAUUUUCAAGUUACAGAAAAGAGAUAUAAGAAUUAUGAAUCCAAUUUAAAUAUAUAGAACCAACAAAUUCAUUAUUUAUCAAAUGAAAUACUUGAUAUUUAGUUUAAUUUUAAACAGCACAAAUAAUGUGCAAAGUACACAAUGAUAUACUUUGCCACAGUAUUCAAAAGCUGUUUGAAAUUAGAGUUGUUGUGCAUUUCUGUUAGAGGUGUUAUUUUGUGGAACGAUUACGAAAAUGAUCUGAAAAUGUGUGGUUCAUUUACACUUUUUUAAAGUAUGUUUAAAACUAAAGUACCGGUACUAGAAAAAUAUAGGAAUUAGUCAUAAA